This 625-nucleotide long non-coding RNA is filed under the name Erythranthe guttata (spotted monkey flower). RNAcentral describes it as "long non-coding RNA (EGUT_LNC002960)". Lineage: Eukaryota; Viridiplantae; Streptophyta; Magnoliopsida; Lamiales; Phrymaceae. The record is from RNAcentral.
CCAACUCUAAAUCCAAACAAAUCCCAAAGCAAAUUACGCAGAUAUUUUUGAUUUCAUCACUCGAGUCAUCAUUAUAAGAGCCACAAACAUUUAUGAAUCAUUUAUUCACAUAACAACAUGUAUAUAUUAACCUAAAGCACAACACAACAACAAUAACAGUGGCGAAAUCCAUCUCCACAAAUUGUCGCCUCACCGAGCACAUCCGCACAACCGCCGUUGAAAUAAAUAAAUAAAACUUCAUGAACUAAUAAAAAGCCCAAUAAAUAAAAACUUCAGAACAACAAAUUUGCUACUCAGUAAAUCCACCACAUAAACUCUCCCAAACAUUCCACCAUUUCCUAUAGCCGAUUUUUCAUCCAUUGCCAUAAGCAAAACUUGCUCAGGUACUCUAAGAGGGUAAAAGAAACCCAAUGUCCAUAUACCUAACCGAGACUUGUUCUUGUAAGAACGCCAUCAGAGAUUGAAGAAGCGGGAGGUCUCGUCGAGGAGGAGGGCGGAGAUGGUCUGGUCGUUCGGUGGGGGCGGCGAGGGUGUGGGCGUGAGUUCAGAGUUAUGGAAAGAAGGGGGAGAGAUAAGAUAAAUUAAUGAGACGGCUAUGGGAUAGAGAGUUGUGUUUAGGUUAACG